UGUGGGAGCAGCUCCUGGCAGUUUGCCUGAUAAUGUAGGUGGCGGUGUCGGAGCAAAAGUUGGAGGCUGCGUGCCAAGUGGUGUCAUCUCAUCCAGGAGCUGUGUCCUCUGAAUCCACAAGGUGACCAGGGAUCCUGACUGCGGGGACAGCGUGCUUGGGUUUAUGGCUGCCCUGUGGGCCGUGUGAAGGAUUAGGCUCCAAGCCGCCAGUGCGCCUUCAGCUGCAAGAGCCUUGCGUCUCUCAGGAAGCUAAAGGCCUGGGCCCAUGCCCCAACCUGCAGCCGGCAGCGUCCACCCCCACGUGAUGCUCUGCUAGUACAUUUCUCCAUUCAGCUGAUGGUGAGUGCUGUACUAUUUUAAGCCCACAUGGAAGUAUUUUUUUUUUUUUUUUUUUUUUAAUAAGGACCAUCUG
Rhinolophus ferrumequinum (greater horseshoe bat) is the source of this 412-nucleotide long non-coding RNA. RefSeq lists it as uncharacterized. The record is from RefSeq and is a predicted model, not a curated record. Lineage: Eukaryota; Metazoa; Chordata; Mammalia; Chiroptera; Rhinolophidae. The transcript is spliced from 3 exons.